This 513-nucleotide ribosomal RNA is filed under the name uncultured bacterium. RNAcentral describes it as "partial 16S ribosomal RNA". It matches the Rfam family "Bacterial small subunit ribosomal RNA", at positions 28 to 523 of the family's 1533-position model. The record is from RNAcentral.
GAUGAACGCUGGCGGCGUGCCUAAUACAUGCAAGUCGAGCGAACAGACGAGGAGCUUGCUCCUCUGACGUUAGCGGCGGACGGGUGAGUAACACGUGGAUAACCUACCUAUAAGACUGGGAUAACUUCGGGAAACCGGAGCUAAUACCGGAUAAUAUAUUGAACCGCAUGGUUCAAUAGUGAAAGACGGUUUUGCUGUCACUUAUAGAUGGAUCCGCGCCGCAUUAGCUAGUUGGUAAGGUAACGGCUUACCAAGGCAACGAUGCGUAGCCGACCUGGGAGGAGGAUCGGCCACACUGGAACUGGUGCACGGUCCAGACUCCUACGGGAGGCAGCAGUAGGGAAUCUUCCGCAAUGGGCGAAAGCCUGACGGAGCAACGCCGCGUGAGUGAUGAAGGUCUUCGGAUCGUAAAACUCUGUUAUUAGGGAAGAACAAAUGUGUAAGUAACUAUGCACGUCUUGACGGUACCUAAUCAGAAAGCCACGGCUAACUACGUGCCAGCCGCCGCCGUAA